GGGUUGUGAGGUUAAGUGACUAAGCGUACACGGUGGAUGCCUAGGCAGUCAGAGGCGAUGAAGGGCGUGCUAAUCUGCGAAAAGCGUCGGUAAGGUGAUAUGAACCGUUACAACCGGCGAUACCCGAAUGGGGAAACCCAGUGUGUUUCGACACACUAUCAUGUCAUGAAUACAUAGUGGCAUGAGGCGAACCGGGGGAACUGAAACAUCUAAGUACCCCGAGGAAAAGAAAUCAACCGAGAUUCCCCCAGUAGCGGCGAGCGAACGGGGAGGAGCCCAGAACCUGAAUCGGCUUGUGUGUUAGUGGAAGCGUCUGGAAAGUCGCGCAGCAAAGGGUGAUAGCCCCGUACACUAAAAUGCACAGGUCGUGAGUUCGAUGAGUAGGGCGGGACACGUGACAUCCUGUCUGAAUAUGGGGGGACCAUCCUCCAAGGCUAAAUACUCCUGACUGACCGAUAGUGAACCAGUACCGUGAGGGAAAGGCGAAAAGAACCCCGGCGAGGGGAGUGAAAUAGAACCUGAAACCGUGUACGUACAAGCAGUGGGAGCACCUUCGUGGUGUGACUGCGUACCUUUUGUAUAAUGGGUCAGCGACUUAUAUUUUGUAGCAAGGUUAACCGUAUAGGGGAGCCGUAGGGAAACCGAGUCUUAACUGGGCGAAUAGUUGCAAGGUAUAGACCCGAAACCCGGUGAUCUAGCCAUGGGCAGGUUGAAGGUUGGGUAACACUAACUGGAGGACCGAACCGACUAAUGUUGAAAAAUUAGCGGAUGACUUGUGGCUGGGGGUGAAAGGCCAAUCAAACCGGGAGAUAGCUGGUUCUCCCCGAAAGCUAUUUAGGUAGCGCCUCGUGAACUCAUCUUCGGGGGUAGAGCACUGUUUCGGCUAGGGGGCCAUCCCGGCUUACCAAACCGAUGCAAACUCCGAAUACCGAAGAAUGUUAUCACGGGAGACACACGGCGGGUGCUAACGUCCGUCGUGAAGAGGGAAACAACCCAGACCGCCAGCUAAGGUCCCAAAGUCAUGGUUAAGUGGGAAACGAUGUGGGAAGGCACAGACAGCCAGGAUGUUGGCUUAGAAGCAGCCAUCAUUUAAAGAAAGCGUAAUAGCUCACUGGUCGAGUCGGCCUGCGCGGAAGAUGUAACGGGGCUAAACCAUGCACCGAAGCUGCGGCAGCGACGCUUAGGCGUUGUUGGGUAGGGGAGCGUUCUGUAAGCCGUUGAAGGUGGCCUGUGAGGGUUGCUGGAGGUAUCAGAAGUGCGAAUGCUGACAUAAGUAACGAUAAAGCGGGUGAAAAGCCCGCUCGCCGGAAGACCAAGGGUUCCUGUCCAACGUUAAUCGGGGCAGGGUGAGUCGACCCCUAAGGCGAGGCUGAAAAGCGUAGUCGAUGGGAAACAGGUUAAUAUUCCUGUACUUGGUGUUACUGCGAAGGGGGGACGGAGAAGGCUAGGCUAGCCGGGCGACGGUUGUCCCGGUUUAAGCGUGUAGGGGGUGUGACCUGGUAAAUCCGGUUGCAUACUAACCCUGAGGCGUGAUGACGAUGCACUACGGUGCAGAAGUAGUUGAUGCCCUGCUUCCAGGAAAAUCCUCUAAGCUCCAGGUAACAUUNNNNNNNNNNNNNNNNNNNNNNNNNNNNNNNNNNNNNNNNNNNNNNNNNNNNNNNNNNNNNNNNNNNNNNNNNNNNNNNNNNNNNGAAGCCAGUCGAAGAUACCAGCUGGCUGCAACUGUUUAAUAAAAACACAGCACUGUGCAAACACGAAAGUGGACGUAUACGGUGUGACGCCUGCCCGGUGCUGGAAGGUUAAUUGAUGGGGUCAGCCGCAAGGCGAAGCUCUUGAUCGAAGCCCCAGUAAACGGCGGCCGUAACUAUAACGGUCCUAAGGUAGCGAAAUUCCUUGUCGGGUAAGUUCCGACCUGCACGAAUGGCGUAAUGAUGGCCAGGCUGUCUCCACCCGAGACUCAGUGAAAUUGAACUCGCUGUGAAGAUGCAGUGUACCCGCGGCAAGACGGAAAGACCCCGUGAACCUUUACUAUAGCUUGACACUGAACAUUGAGCCUUGAUGUGUAGGAUAGGUGGGAGGCUUUGAAGCGUGGACGCCAGUCUGCGUGGAGCCAUCCUUGAAAUACCACCCUUUAAUGUUUGAUGUUCUAACUCUGCCCCAUAAUCUGGGGUGAGGACAGUGUCUGGUGGGUAGUUUGACUGGGGCGGUCUCCUCCCAAAGAGUAACGGAGGAGCACGAAGGUUAGCUAAUCACGGUCGGACAUCGUGAGGUUAGUGCAAAGGCAUAAGCUAGCUUGACUGCGAGAGUGACGGCUCGAGCAGGUACGAAAGUAGGUCUUAGUGAUCCGGUGGUUCUGAAUGGAAGGGCCAUCGCUCAACGGAUAAAAGGUACUCCGGGGAUAACAGGCUGAUACCGCCCAAGAGUUCAUAUCGACGGCGGUGUUUGGCACCUCGAUGUCGGCUCAUCACAUCCUGGGGCUGAAGUAGGUCCCAAGGGUAUGGCUGUUCGCCAUUUAAAGUGGUACGCGAGCUGGGUUUAGAACGUCGUGAGACAGUUCGGUCCCUAUCUGCCGUGGGCGUUGGAAGAUUGAGAGGGGUUGCUCCUAGUACGAGAGGACCGGAGUGAACGCACCACUGGUGUUCGGGUUGUCAUGCCAAUGGCAUUGCCCGGUAGCUAAGUGCGGAAAAGAUAAGCGCUGAAAGCAUCUAAGCGCGAAACUUGCCUCAAGAUGAGUCUUCCCUGGGCCUUUAAGGCCCCUGAAGGAACGUUUAAGACUAAGACGUUGAUAGGCUGGGUGUGUAAGUGCAGCGAUGCAUUGAGCUAACCAGUACUAAUGAUCCGUGAGGCUUAACCUUACAACACCGAAGGUGUUUUAG
Molecule: ribosomal RNA, 2876 nt
Filed under: Serratia marcescens
Lineage: Bacteria; Pseudomonadati; Pseudomonadota; Gammaproteobacteria; Enterobacterales; Yersiniaceae
Description: 23S ribosomal RNA
Rfam family: Bacterial large subunit ribosomal RNA
Source: RNAcentral